This 253-nucleotide ribosomal RNA is filed under the name uncultured bacterium. RNAcentral describes it as "partial 16S ribosomal RNA". It matches the Rfam family "Bacterial small subunit ribosomal RNA", at positions 524 to 776 of the family's 1533-position model. The record is from RNAcentral.
UACGUAGGGUGCGAGCGUUAAUCGGAAUUACUGGGCGUAAAGCGUGUGCAGGCGGUCCGUUGGGUCUGAUGUGAAAGCCCCGGGCUCAACCUGGGAAUGGCAUUGGAAACUGGCGAGCUAGAGUGUGGCAGAGGGGGGUGGAAUUCCGCGUGUAGCAGUGAAAUGCGUAGAGAUGCGGAGGAACACCGAUGGCGAAGGCAGCCCCCUGGGCUGACACUGACGCUCAGGCACGAAAGCGUGGGGAGCAAACAGG